AUAAUCAUAAAAAACAUUACUCGUAUAUACUCGGUAAUAUGGUCUGAGUGUUUCUACCUGGUUCCCAUUAAGAACUAGACUACGGGUUAAAGUAUUCGGCUG
This 102-nucleotide non-coding RNA is filed under the name Neobacillus niacini. Its description in RNAcentral is "Bacillus niacini Guanine sequence". It matches the Rfam family "Purine riboswitch aptamer". Rfam says of the family: Riboswitches are metabolite binding domains within certain messenger RNAs that serve as precision sensors for their corresponding targets. Allosteric rearrangement of mRNA structure is mediated by ligand binding, and this results in modulation of gene expression. Lineage: Bacteria; Bacillati; Bacillota; Bacilli; Caryophanales; Bacillaceae. The record is from RNAcentral.